GAAAAAUGGAGAUGUUAACAUUUUUUACUCUUCUAUAGUUGGAUACGUUUAUUCAAUCUCAUUAUUGUUGAUAACAAAACAGAAACAAUAUAUAAGAGUGAACGAACUUUAGUACUUUUUAAAAACUUUCACCCAACAAACAAUGAUGGUGUCGCAGAUCAUUAUCGACGUGCGAGGAAUCGUUUAGAGCAACAUUGUCAGCAUUUACACGUGAAGAAAACAAACACACUUUAACAAUUUCAAAGGAGUGGACGGACUUCCGGACAUUUACAAAAGAUUGCAAAAGAUCACCAAGGAGAAAGCAAUGCAAAGGAACCUGUUUCGGCAUUAAAUGAUUUUAUCCUCGAUGGCUUGUGGUGUCACGUACUACAAAGAUAAGGGCAAAAGGAAAAAAGGGUAUCUUAUCUUGAAGGACACAGAAUUCACAUAGACUUUUUAGAACUCGGUCUAUUUUUACGGUUAUUUUUCUCAUUUUCUGAAUGGAAAUUUAACUUGAAAGUAGGGAUCUCCGAGGGCUAUUUAGUUUAAAUCUCCUUAAAGCUAAAAAUUCG
Molecule: long non-coding RNA, 551 nt
Organism: Leptopilina boulardi
Lineage: Eukaryota; Metazoa; Arthropoda; Insecta; Hymenoptera; Figitidae
Exons: 3
Source: RefSeq, a predicted model, not a curated record